CCUACGGGUGGCAGCAGUGGGGAAUAUUGGGCAAUGGGCGCAAGCCUGACCCAGCAACGCCGCGUGAAGGAAGAAGGCUUUCGGGUUGUAAACUUCUUUUUUCAGGGACGAAGAAAGUGACGGUACCCGAGGAAUAAGCCACGGCUAACUACGUGCCAGCAGCCGCGGGAAUACGUAGGUGGCAAGCUUUAUCCGGAUUUACGGGGUGUAAAGGGCGUGGAGGCGGGAAAGCAAGUCAGAGGUGAAAACCAUGGGCUCAACCUGUGGCCUGCAUUUGAAACUGUUUUUCUUGAGUACGGGAGAGGCGGGCGGAAUUCCUCGUGUAGCGGUGAAAUGCGUAGAUAUGAGGAGGAACACCAGUGGCGAAGGCGGUCUGCUGGACAGCAACUGACGCUGAGGCGCGAAAGCGUGGGGAGCAAACAGGAUUAGAUACCCCUGUAGUC
RNAcentral lists this ribosomal RNA (443 nucleotides) under uncultured bacterium. Its description in RNAcentral is "partial 16S ribosomal RNA". It matches the Rfam family "Bacterial small subunit ribosomal RNA", at positions 338 to 795 of the family's 1533-position model. The record is from RNAcentral.